Molecule: ribosomal RNA, 500 nt
Filed under: uncultured bacterium
Lineage: Bacteria
Description: partial 16S ribosomal RNA
Rfam family: Bacterial small subunit ribosomal RNA
Source: RNAcentral
AUUGAACGCUGGCGGCAUGCCUUACACAUGCAAGUCGAACGGCAGCACGGGAGCAAUCCUGGUGGCGAGUGGCGAACGGGUGAGUAAAGUAUCGGAACGUGCCCAGUCGUGGGGGAUAACGUAGCGAAAGUUACGCUAAUACCACAUACGACCUAUGGAUGAAAGCGGGGGAUCGCAAGACCUCGCGCGAUUGGAGCGGCCGAUAUCAGAUUAGGUAGUUGGUGGGGUAAAGGCUUACCAAGCCGACGAUCUGUAGCUGGUCUGAGAGGACGACCAGCCACACUGGGACUGAGACACGGCCCAGACUCCUACGGGAGGCAGCAGUGGGGAAUUUUGGACAAUGGGCGAAAGCCUGAUCCAGCCAUGCCGCGUGCAGGAUGAAGGCCUUCGGGUUGUAAACUGCUUUUGUACGGAACGAAAAGGUUUGGCCUAAUAAGCUGAGCUCAUGACGGUACCGUAAGAAUAAGCACCGGCUAACUACGUGCCAGCCGCCGCGGUAA